GACGAACGCUGGCGGCGUGCUUAACACAUGCAAGUCGAACGGAAAGGCCCUGCUUGCAGGGUACUCGAGUGGCGAACGGGUGAGUAACACGUGGGUGAUCUGCCCUGCACUUCGUGAUAAGCCUGGGAAACUGGGUCUAAUACCGGAUAGGAGCCAUUUUUAGUGUGAUGGUUGGAAAGUUUUUUCGGUGUAGGAUGAGCUCGCGGCCUAUCAGCUUGUUGGUGGGGUAAUGGCCUACCAAGGCGGCGACGGGUAGCCGGCCUGAGAGGGUGGACGGCCACAUUGGGACUGAGAUACGGCCCAGACUCCUACGGGAGGCAGCAGUGGGGAAUAUUGCACAAUGGGCGCAAGCCUGAUGCAGCGACGCCGCGUGGGGGAUGACGGCCUUCGGGUUGUAAACUCCUUUCGCUAGGGACGAAGCUUUUGUGACGGUACCUAGAUAAGAAGCACCGGCUAACUACGUG
This 464-nucleotide ribosomal RNA is filed under the name uncultured bacterium. RNAcentral describes it as "partial 16S ribosomal RNA". It matches the Rfam family "Bacterial small subunit ribosomal RNA", at positions 28 to 507 of the family's 1533-position model. The record is from RNAcentral.